AUUAUCCUACUAUUCAUUCAAAUAUUUAAAGGUGUAAAAUUUGGUUUCUUUGUUAAAUUGUUUUCUGUAUUCCGAUUUUCGCUCCACUCCGCGCAAAACCUCCGUUUUCUCCGAUUCCGGCUACUGCGUUGUCCACCGGUAAUCGCAGCACCUCCUGUUGACGCGUCAUCAUUUUCAUCCAGUCAACAGUUCAUCCAAGGGGGGAGACGGAAAAAGUUGAGGAGUUUGUGAGAGCAUUGAACUCUAAAGGUGUCCAAACAGAACACAUUUUACAUUCUACUCAAUUUCUCGACUUUUGCUAGUACAAGAGAGGAAACGAGAGGGCGCAUAGCACUGGCAUAACAGAAUCUGUUAACAUCAAUGCAAUUCCGCAGACUGAAAAUGAGACCAAUAUUCCUUGACAAGCUUUCUAAACAAGGACUCUUCUCUCAUCAUCAAGCUCAUUGGCUCGUCAUACUCCACCAACUUUCCUGGAAAUACAAUCAAAAGCUUUUCAUUCUUUGAAGAAAUCGAAGUCGUAAAAAGACAUUGGUGCUCGAAAGAGGGAGUUCAUCAAUUGUAAAAAUAAAUAUUUUGAAGAAUGAAGACCCAAAGCUACUAUAAAGGAACUUCUGAUCAACAUGAAAAGUAUUGAAGAAGCUCCGAUCCA
Vicia villosa (hairy vetch) is the source of this 649-nucleotide long non-coding RNA. RefSeq lists it as uncharacterized. Lineage: Eukaryota; Viridiplantae; Streptophyta; Magnoliopsida; Fabales; Fabaceae. The transcript has 4 exons. The record is from RefSeq and is a predicted model, not a curated record.